RNAcentral lists this ribosomal RNA (243 nucleotides) under Triticum aestivum (bread wheat). RNAcentral's name for it is "partial small subunit ribosomal RNA". The record is from RNAcentral. Lineage: Eukaryota; Viridiplantae; Streptophyta; Magnoliopsida; Poales; Poaceae.
AUGGCCGCCAGGAAUUUCUUAGUCCGAUCCCCCAAGGAGGAGGAAUCCAGCGCUGCCGUCCGAGAGGCUGUCUUGUUGGGAGGGAAGAACGCCGCCAUUGCUGGUACUGUGGUCGCGGUUCCCACGUUGGUUGCUUGCCGUGUCCUUCCUUGGGCUAAGCAUAAUCUGAACUACACCGCACAAGCACUCAUCAUAUCGGCAGGUACUAUGCUACUCAAAACUGUCUUUGUCGAGCUAGUGUAG